GAGGCCGCGCGGACGCGUACCCCCUCUAUCAGAAAUUAUGACAUCCACUCUCCCAAAGGAGAUGGUAGAUCAACGCACUCACUAAGUGCAAUGUGAGCCAUUGAUCUAGGCCAUGAGCCUUCUUGA
Molecule: ribosomal RNA, 126 nt
Filed under: Triticum aestivum (bread wheat)
Lineage: Eukaryota; Viridiplantae; Streptophyta; Magnoliopsida; Poales; Poaceae
Description: partial small subunit ribosomal RNA
Source: RNAcentral